UACAUCGAACAAACUUUAAGAAAGAUGCGGCUUUUAACGCCUUGAUCUCAUUGUGAAUAUCGCCGGAGUUUAUGAGAUAUCUGAAAUGCCUCUUCAAGAAAAUAUGUUAUACCCUUUAUGUAGUUGUAAGUCGGAUUUAGAAUAUUGUAGCCUUCAAGAACUUAUUAGGAUUGGGCUCGUCUCGUAAAAUCCCUGAAAAGUCAAUGUCUACACUAAUAAAUAAAAAAACUAUAAUACAAAGAUCUAUAAAUUAAAUCCUCCUAAAAGCAGUGACAUAUUCACAUACUACACUAUGAAGGGUUUCAUUUCUAGCAUGGUGUUGUUAAAGAUUUGCUUCAUAUUCACUAUUCUUCUCAUGGCACCCAAUGUCAGCGCGAGAUGGAAUAUAGAUCCAAAAAUCUCAGGAUUCGGAAGGAGAUUACUACCACAAGUUACAAAUGACUCGCGAGCCAAUCCUAAGGUUAUGAGUUCGAGUGUCAAUGAAGCAAAACGACUGAAAAUUCCAGGGUGGGGUUAAAAAAAGUUAUUUGGUUUAUCUUGAUCAAAUGACAAUAUAUGCACUAGACAACAAAUGAGUAUUUGUCUCGUAUGUGUUUCAUUUUAUUUGUCUUUAGUGUUUCGUUUGGUAAGAAUAAUAAUGAACAAAUUCAAACAUAUAAAUUUUUUAGUGUUUCUAUUAUUGAAUGAAAAGGAAUAACAAGUGUUGACUAAAUAUGUUUUAAUUCCAAAUAAGUUGGGCUCGAUCAUAUGAGUCAUCGUUGUUCAUGUCA
Long non-coding RNA from Capsicum annuum, 770 nucleotides. RefSeq lists it as uncharacterized. Lineage: Eukaryota; Viridiplantae; Streptophyta; Magnoliopsida; Solanales; Solanaceae. The record is from RefSeq and is a predicted model, not a curated record. The transcript is spliced from 2 exons.